RNAcentral lists this ribosomal RNA (468 nucleotides) under uncultured bacterium. Its description in RNAcentral is "partial 16S ribosomal RNA". It matches the Rfam family "Bacterial small subunit ribosomal RNA", at positions 28 to 507 of the family's 1533-position model. The record is from RNAcentral.
GACGAACGCUGGCGGCGUGCUUAACACAUGCAAGUCGAACGGAAAGGCCCUGCUUUUGUGGGGUGCUCGAGUGGCGAACGGGUGAGUAACACGUGAGUAACCUGCCCUUGACUUUGGGAUAACUUCAGGAAACUGGGGCUAAUACCGGAUAGGAGCUCCUGCUGCAUGGUGGGGGUUGGAAAGUUUCGGCGGUUGGGGAUGGACUCGCGGCUUAUCAGCUUGUUGGUGGGGUAGUGGCUUACCAAGGCUUUGACGGGUAGCCGGCCUGAGAGGGUGACCGGCCACAUUGGGACUGAGGUACGGCCCAGACUGCUACGGGGGGCAGCAGUGGGAAAUAUUGCACAAUGGGCGGAAGCCUGAUGCAGCAACGCCGCGUGCGGGAUGACGGCCUUCGGGUUGUAAACCGCUUUCGCCUGUGACGAAGCGUGAGUGACGGUAAUGGGUAAAGAAGCACCGGCUAACUACGUG